This is a long non-coding RNA of Heterocephalus glaber (naked mole-rat), 11676 nucleotides long. The record is from Ensembl. NCBI's taxonomy places the organism in Eukaryota, Metazoa, Chordata, Mammalia, Rodentia, Bathyergidae.
AGCCUUCCGCCCUUUGUUACACUGGGCUGACAUAAGCAACAUGGGCUUUUGGGCGAUUAUUUCAAGCAUUCAGAUUUUGUUUCCCCAUGCAACACCGUAAGCUCCCUACAGGGAGAACAUAUGUCUCAGGUCAGGGAAUAGAUGGGAAGACAGUUUUUGAGAGCAUGAUAAUGAAGGGAGUUUUCAAUACACUGAGUUUUGUACACCUGUAGUAUAUGCAGGUAGAAACAUCCAAUAAGCAGUUAUUACAUACACAUCUGGAUAUCAGAGGGAGGUCUAAGCUGAACUCAUUCAUUGGAACUCAUCAGCCUAUGUUUGGUUCACUGCCAGGUGGAGUGCAUGAACUGCAUCACACAGGGAGAGUGGAGAGGGGCAGUGGGUGAGCAAGAUGAGCGGGUGCGGGAAACCGGAAGCUCUGCCAGGUGAGGUGCUGGCGGGGGAGGAACCCCAGCCAUGGUAAGAGGGGCCUGGAAGACUGUGUUACUGUGGAUGCUGAGAAAUUGUAAAUUUCCGUGAGAACAGAGAGUGACCAAUGGUGGCAAAUGCCACAACAAAGACAAGUAAGAGAAGACUAGGAAAAGUGCCCAGUGGGUUUGACUGCAAUUGACCCUCAAAGAGCAAUUUCCCGUGAGUAAUGAGAACAGAACCCGGACAGAGAGCGAAUGAGGAUGGGCUGCACUGCAAGGAGAGUAAUUAGAGAACGCGAACUCAGACCAUGCCCUGCACACCAGAGAAAGGAAGGCUGACACCAAACAGGAGCUUCCAGGAUGAAAUGGCUAUGACACAAAUAGAUGAGGUAAUUUAUGCAGUGGCACACAGCUGGCGAGUGGAAGAGCAGAAUUCAAGCUCACACAGUCUGGAAUCAAAGGCUUUAUUCUCAACCACUGGGCUACGCUGCCUCCAUUUUUAUGUUAGCAAUCCAGGCAGCAACUUCCUUCUCAUCCAACCUUGACCUUUUGUUUUGUUGGACUCAGUCCCAGAUCUCUGGGACCUGAUGCUGGGACCUGAUGCUGGACUUUGCAGAAUCAUGGAUCAAAUCCAAAUGCUGCAGUACAUAAAGGUUCUGUCUUCUUAAAAAAAAUCCAAAUUCUUGUAGCUCUUUUACAGAAUGCAAUAUAUGUCCAAAAGUUUAUAAUAAGAUUAUCAAAUGUGAUGUUCUAAAAAUCAAAACUCAUGUGCUUAUAAAAAUGAUUUGCUACAUUAUUACACGCUGCUCUUAAGUCUAACAUUCUCUCCAGAAGUUCCCACAGUUAUAAUUUCAAGCCAGUGAAAGUAAUUAAGACAGGAAAAGGGAGAAUCCUUAACUUACUUUCAGCAGAUUUAGAUUUUCUUCCUGUAAUACUCUUUAUGCAGCCCUCCCUGCUGUUGCAAACUCUUAGAUCUACCCCCAAACAUGUUAUUUACAAAGUCUUAAAGUCUCACAGAUAUUUGCAUUUGUUUUGUAAUGUACUAAACAAGUCAUCAUAAUGCUUUAAAAAGAAUUGAAGAAGACACAGCUGGAUCCUUUCUGUACUGUGAGACUGACUCUUCUCAAGAUUUAAGACUGUCUUCCCACAAACCUUCGAAGUAGAUCUAUUGGACUGCUACCUGAAGGAUCUCCUGGAAAUAGGCAUAUCUUUAAAGCUGAUGCCCAUUGCAUCCUCUUCAUUCUGCAUUACAAAUUUUAUAAUGCCCAGUUUGAUUAAAGGAGUGUCUUUAGGCUAUUUGUUAGGGUCCAACUACAACCUUUGAAUAGAGAUUAGGCUGGGCAGCUUGCAAAUCUUGCACAAAAAGUAAAUCUACUCUUUGCUUUGAGACUUGGGGAGUGUCAAGAGUAAUUGGAAUGUUUUCUUCAUGUGCCCCUGCCCUAAAGAUUACAUCUUUUCCUUCAAGAUUUAGCAAGAGGCACUGAGUGAGAAUUGUAAUCAAUAUCAUUAGCUAAACAUACUACACCCAAAAGACAAACAGCUGCUGGAUUACUGCGCUACUACUCACCAUCUUAGAGUCCUCAUUCAUAUAGUGCUCUAAACCUGGAGAAAUUCACAUACCGACUCAUACAUCACCCAAAAGAAUUCUGAAAAUAUAGCUGUGAAUUGUGGAAAUUCACAGCCAUAUGGCCAGAAUAGGCCUGGAAACAACUAGGUGUUCUUGAUUUUUUAUUUCAAGAUUCUUUUUUGGUCUAAAUAUGUAAGCUCCAGCCAAGAGAUACACCUGAACUAUCCAUACCUUGCUGUGAGUUUUUGGUGUGUUCAGAAACCAGCAUGCAAAUGUCAUUGGAGAUACUGUAAGAGAAAAGGAUGUGAGGUGUCCCCUUGAGAGAUUUUUAAUGGAACUAGUCUGAGGCUAGUUUCACACAAAUAUCUCCUGGGGACUGGAGGCAGGGAAAUGACUAGCUCAGCAUCAAGCCUGUAGACCGAGGAUAUGCAGGGAGAAUGGAUGGGGAGACCCAUCCAAGAGGGUUGUUUCAGGAGCUAGGUCAUUCCACGGUUCCAAUCUUCCUUCACGUGUCAUACUCCUUCCUUCCAAGGUUUGGUGUCUGCCCUGCAAAAUACCCAAUAAUCGAAAAGCACAGUAUGAUUUAUGGCAUUAGUAGUUCCUUAAAGCUGCUUAUGGAAGUGUCUUCAGUCCAUAAAGUUGGAGAAAAGAGAAUGAGAAACACAGGGCAUAAAUUGUAUCUUCAGAAUACUUCAUCAGCUGGCUAGUUAAGUAUAAUAGUCCAUUAGUAGCAAGAUAAGGCUCAGUUAAAACUGUAAAUUAAAAUUUAGAUGUCUCUUUCCCUCUGCCUGUAAAAAAGCAAUUUUGCUGCAACCUCAACACCAGGUGAACCACUAGACCACUUAAAUAACAGGUACUAAAUCAAAAUUUCACUCUGGAAAUUGGGAACUCAAAUCUAUUUUGCAUGCUUUGUAAAGUCACCCACCAUUCCAGGACAUCUUAAACAGGCAGUUAUUUUGUUACAGCCUUUUCCUGGUAGUGAGGAGAAAAGUUGGAUGGGAUGAGGCAGAGGUUGGAAAAGUUGUAAGUAGAGUAUUUUUAAUACCACAAUAUAAAUAAUGAAUUAGGUAGGGCAGUGAUUCCAUGGAUGCUAAAAAAUGUUCUUAUAUCCAACCCCUUUGUUUUGAGAGGAUUCAAUCCCAUUUUAAAUGGCAUUCUUUAGAUUUGCCAUUUAGUCAUGCUAAAACCAAAAAUGCUCAGAAAAUAAAAACCCAAAACACUGAGAGUUGAACACAUUGACACAUUUCCAAGGGUGUAAAAUGAAACAACUGCAUGGAGGCAAAAGUUUGCCUAGAUAAGAAUCAGUAUGAAACAACUUUGAGGGAGUAGAGAGAAUCGUCUGCCUAUGAUAUCAACCCUGGAAAUGAGCCUGUAACCAUCUCAUUAGUAAGCUUCGUGCCCCGGCUUCACACACACUGAGAUCCAACUCAGCAGCUACCAGAACUGACCCAGCUGCCCUACAGGAAAGUAUGCAACUUUCCGUUUCUAAGUAGGUCCACCAAGAGAGCAAGAAGGGUCUUUGACCGAAAGAACUGGGUCACAGGAUGGGAGCGGCACCAUUGCCUUUAACAUCAUAAACUCUUGAGUUUUAAGGAGACACGGUUCCCAUAGGCCUAAGAGAGUUUCUUAAAUGUGACCUACAUUCAAACAUAAUUAUCUUUCUUUCCCAAUUGGCAAACAUUUACUGUAUAAUCUUGUCGUAAAAUCCCACAAUUAAUAAUUUUUAAUGUAACAAGCCACAUUCUCUGACCUAAAAUGUAGUGCGAUACAUAACAGUAGAAAACAAUUAAAAUAGUCUGACUAUACCUUAGUCCUGCCCCUAAGAUUUUUGGAACUACAGCUUUUCCUUUAGAUGAAAUGACUUACUUAAUCAGUUGAAGUUACCUGUAGCCUUCUUUGGGAGGAGUAUUUAGAAAUGUUGUAUCCUUACUAAAUAUUCAGGACUAGUUUUAAAUAUUGUUUAAAAAGCACAAUGAAGACUUGAACUAAAGCAUUACACACGAAGCCCUUUGAAAGUAGGAAUUUAUUCUUUAGAAGAUUAUUUAUGCUGUUCAAUUCAUUUGAUUUUAGCAAAUAGUAUCUCAGAAAUGGUGUGGCAUAGGAUAAAAAGUACUAGGGCUGGGGAUUUAGCUCAGUGGUUCUGCCACCUGCCCCACAAGCUCAAGGACCGGAGUUCAAUCCUGGUACCAAAAAAAAAAAAAAAAAAAAAGAAUAGGAUAAAAAGUACUGAAAGGUUAGAUCUAACCAGGCCAACAAGCCAGCAAUAUGAUCGCAGGCUUCUCAGUCAUCUUGGAAUCUCUCUUUCAUCUGUAAAAUGAGAUCAUGGCAAUGCCCAUCUUGUAGUGUUGCUUUGAAGAAUAAAAAAUUAGAGUAACUGAAGUAACUGGUAACCUGAAAAUGAUUAAACAGAUGUUUAGAUUGUUGUGAGGCCUUCAAAUAUCAAGAAAAUUAUCAGAAAAAUGAAGCACGCCAAAAACAUCUUAAACAUGUCUACCUAAAAUACAUUUUGACAAAUAUAGAUGCCAAAUAUGCACACAGAAAUUUCAGAUCAAAUAAAUGUGCAUUUAAAGUCAGCAUGAACUUCCAGAUAAAGAUGGCAGAUUAUGCACAUGUAUUUAUAUUUUCUUCCAAGCAAAAGUCCAUACAAACGUUAUUAAAGGAAUACAAAUAGGUGCAAAACUACAAGGUAAAACAAGAAUAAGAAAUAGUUAUCAGUAGGUAGAAUAUUUCAACAAAUUUUUGGAGGAUGAAAAGUACAUGGAGGCAUUCAAAGGCAUUCACAGAAGUUCACUCAGAGUAGACGAAGGUUAAGGGAAUAGGAGGAUGAUGGUAGGGAUGUAGAUUAGCUGCCAAGAAAAACCUUUGAGAUGCUGAGAAUCCUGAAACUUCAGAUACUGUGGGGGUGGACAUGAAACAUAGGUUAAGAUAUAGAAGAAAUCAAUGAAAAGCCUGUCCAAGGAAAGCUGAUUUUAACACUAUGUAAAUGUCAACCACAAUCAUUGCAUUUGCCUUGCUCUAUGAUGUAAACGGAAAACCGAAGAUUCCUUUACAUUUGGGAAAAGUCUUAAUGUGAGAGACUCUGACCAAGAUAAACAAGGAGGAAAACCUGAUUCCAAAAUAAAAAUAACACAACAAAGAACACAAGUUUUUACAAAAAUUCUAACAUCCUUGAAAGAUUCAAGAAUUCUUUGUUUCUAUUAGACAAGAACAGGAUACUCUGAAAAAGAAUAAACUGAGUUUAAGAAGAAAGCUUGACAUCAUUUACAUAUGUAUGUAACACAAACAUAUGUAGAUACAGUUUUUCCAAAAAAUUCAGAAUGUAAAAUUUAUAAAAUCUCAUGGAAGGUAAAAUGAAAAUAGACAAAAAGAUCAAACCAGGAGGACUAACAGGAAAUCAAUUGGAAUUAAGUAAAAUGAGAUGCAAAAUGGAAAGAAGUAGGGAAAGGAUGGAAGGAUCAUUUUAAUGGUACAAGAGAAUUUUGUACCCGAAAGAAUUAAGAUUUCAGGUGGUAAGAACUCAUAAGUGGUUGUAAAAAGACUCUUACCUAAGAUCAUCUUUGAAAGAAAAAUGCAGGAAGAAAAAGCAAUGAAAAUCAAACUGGUAUUGUACUUCAUAUUAGCAAUAUUGGACCCUCAAGAAAAAGGAACAUGUUUUUUAAAUUCUGAGAAAAAGUUACUUUCUAACUAUAUUACCCAUGCCUAAUUAAGUUAUUAUGCAAAUGUGAGCAUAGGCCACACUUGCAGGUGCUGAUUUUCAUACAUUCAAAGAAUCAGAAAAGUUGUCUCACGUAUAAUUUCUUUAGAAUUGUGUUGAGUAUGUCCUGCAGCAAAAGAAGUCUGCAAAAAGGCAAAAGCUUGAUCCUACAAAUGAGGAACAAAGCAGACACAGAUGAUCAAUAAAGGAAAGACUUUCACUGGGUAGCAGGCAUAGUGUACAAGGAGACAAGAGUAGAGGACAAAGGAAUUUUUCUUGAAGUAGUUGAAGAAGAAGUAAGUUCCUGAAAAAGAAUUAACAAAACCUUUACCUGAAUGGACAGAAAGAGUACAUGAUAAAGAUAAACAGCAUUUUUAAAAAGGCGAUUACAAACUCUAGAAAAGUUAAAAGCUGUACAAGAGAGGAAGUAUAAUAAUAGCACGGUACUUGAAACUGUGAGAAACAAUCUUAAAUUCCAAAGUAAAUAGCAUUUACUGAUUUAUAAAAUUACAGGAAAAGAUGAUAGAAUUAUAAUUAGAGAGCAGAAAGCAAAUGUCAAUAAUCUUGACAACACAGAAGAAAAGAUUACAAAAAUUGAGAGACGGAAGUGAGAGAAAAGAACUGAAAAGACAGAGAUGCAGAAUAAAAUACUCUUAUUAAAGAAAUAAGUAUUUUACUGAAAGUUACAUAGGUAACCAAUAAAGGCAUAAAAUAAAAAUAAGAUGUAUAGAAAGUAUUAGGAGGCUUAAAUUACAGUCUAAUCUAUCAAUAACACAUAGCAAAACAAUAUAAUAUUGUAUUGGUCCAUUUUCCCUCCACUGUAACAAAAUACCUGCAGCUGGAUAAUGUAUAAAGAAAGGAGGUUUAUUUAGCCCACAAUUUUUGAGGCUGAGAGUCCAAGCUUGGGCAGCCCCAUGUGUUUGGCCUCUGGUGAGGACCCCCUUGUCUGUGUCACCUCCUGGAAGAUGACAUUGUGAUGGGAACCCGUGCAAAAAGGAGAAAGAGUACAGUGAGAUGGGAAGUCAGGGCAUGAGGAGAGGCCAGUUUUGCUAUUUUAUAACAACCCACUCUUGUGAGAAGCAUUUGGGUGGCCCAAAGCACCUACAUUAAUCCUUUCCAAGGGUAGAGUCCCCAGUGGCCUAAUUGCCUGGCACUAGGUCCCACCGGUUAAAGGAGCUGACAUAUCCCAAUCCCCUCACAAUGAGAACCAAGUUUCCAACACACAAGAACUUGGGGACACACACAAACCAUGUCCAAGCCAUGGCAGAUAUCUAAGCUUAACAACUCAAGAAAGCAAUACAAGCACAUUAGUUAGCGAUAGGAAGAUAACUAACAAAAACUGCUAUAAAAUUAAAAGUCACAUCUGAGCAGAGACACAGGACAUGAGGGUCAGGACUGAAAUUUAUUGCUUUUCUGCCUCGAUGCUUCUGUCCUUUGUUAUUAUCAUGUGGAGUUUUGGGGGGUUUCUUAGCUUUGAUAAAAAUUUUUAAAUGAUUGAUAAAAAACUCAAGGGCGUAAAUUUUACUGCAAAAUGUGCUAUCCAUUAUGAUACACUACCAAUCCAAUUUAUGUAAAAUUUGUGACAAAGCCUUCUGCUACAGUGUAUUUCAUACUGAAUGUGAUUUCAGAAUGGGAAGAUACUGACUCUAUUUUGAUAAACAGCCUGCUAACUAAUUCUCAAGUGCUCCAACACAGUGAGAUGUAAAGUGUCUUCCAGUAUCCCCAUGCAUCUGAAGACAUCGGUGCUGACUGAUCAACAAUGUGCAGGGAAUGCCUGAUUGUUUUAUUAUGUCAUUUUGCUACUGAAGAAAUUUAUUCAUGAUUGUUCACCAGCAAGAUGAGAUCAUGUGGGAUCAGUAUAUAUUUGGAACCUUAAACCUUACACAAUGCGAUUACUCGGGAUAUCUAGAUGCAAAUUUCACUCCAGCACCACCACCACCCCCUUCGUCUAUCCUCAAAACACAUACAUUUACCACCAGGCACUGGAGGGGCAUUUACAAGGAAUGUCUCUUGGAACUGCAAAGAACAAAGGAAAUUCUCUGCAAAAUGAUGCUGAAACAUGAUCACUGAUGCAUACUUUCUUGCCAGUAUCUUGCUUUUUGAAUAUCGUCCUUACCUAUUAUUAGGAUAUUGUUUUCUUUGGAUGGGAAAGACAAAGAUGAGAAGUCCACUUAAGUGCUCAAACAGUACCCUCUACUGGUGCAGUUUGAGCUUAAGGUUUUAUUUGUAGCAGGGCUUAGUUGUACUGACAACAGAUGGAAAAGAGAUAAGAAGAGAAAGCAAGGUGAAAAGUAUACAUCAUCAUGUAAAAAGAAAACAUGAAUUUAAAAAAACAACUAACUUUAGUCUGAUAUAACUAAACUGACAUUUGAGGCAUCCUAGCAUAUAUGUGAUACAAACGCACUUCAUUAAAUCCUCAUACAAUACUUUGUUCUUGGAAAAACAGUACACUAAUGGAUGAUUCUGCAUAUGACAUUCAGUAUCUUUGCUUUACGAAGUGAUUCACCACCAGUUCCCCCAGGGAGUUCCUCAAGUUCCUGGAACAUGUGACAUGAUUUAUACCCUGACUUUGGGAACAUAUUAAUUGUGAAAAAUAAACUGGUUCCUUAGGUCACAGUCCAGGGCUCUUACAUGAUACCAGAGAGGCCUGUGCUACUUGACAUGUUUGUAAAUGUUUAGGCAAAGUUCAAAAUUAAUUUUUGGUGUCUUGCUAAUAUAUAAGUAACAGUGGUUUGGAGAUGGCAAGAUUAAUUUAUCUGAUGAAGGAAGGAAUGAGCAACAUAUGCUUCCCAGAGCAGGGGAUCUGGAGAUCUAUUUUGUUUAAUAUAGUAUAAAUGCUUAAUAAAUUGAAUUGUGAUUAAAACCAGGUGCAGCCCUACAUUUAGAAGAAAACUCGGAUUUUUAAAAAUACCUCUGACUAAAAAUCAAUUGGAUACUCAGCUCUCUGGGCCCUCCAUGCUGGUGGCAUUGAAAACGUACAAAGCACACCCCAAUCUCACUGAGCAUUUGCAGUUGGAAAUUAAGUCAGCAUAUUUAGGCUGUCACACAACAGAAAGCCAACUGGUCUUUGUUCUGUUCCCUCCAAAGGAAAGUAAGGAUGGGGGGAUUUAAAUGUCCUCAGGCACAGAGGGAUGGGGCUUCUGUGUGUGAAUGACACACACUGAGAGUGAGAAAGACACAUGGUUCUCUUGGUCUAUCUUUAAUUUCUAGUGGAGACAGGAAUACAGAGAAGUAAUUCUUCACUGUAAGAAAAGCAACAGAGCAAACCUUAUGAUCAGUUCUGACUGAGGCCUCUGAUAUGACAAUAAAGAGCAGGUGGACUGAUGAAACGGACAGUCCACACCCCACUGAAACUGAUGAGGUAGCAGUUGUCCUUGUCACCAUGGAGCCCCGAGGGCCAAAGGGUGCCAGGUUUUAAGAUUUCUCCAGGGGAGCUUGAUGCCAGACUAUUUACAUAGUACUGACUUUUGUGGUCUCAAGUCUUUUUUUCCAAAAAAAAUCUGUGAGCCAAAACAAAUACUUACAAACUAAGUUUAUCCCAUGGAUCCGUAGUGAAUAACGAACACCAACUUGUGCUUUCAAGGCAGGCAGCGGCACCACUGAGCUAAAUCCCUGGCCCUUGCUUAUUUGCUUUUAUUUGAUUUUUUUCUCCUCCACCAUGAGGGUGGAGGCCAUGUCUCAUUUAUUCAGGAGGACAUUACCCACCCUAAAGUAGGUAUUUAUUAAUAAUCACUGGAUGAAUGGUAAAGCUUUUAAGUUGCUCCUCCUGGAAGUAACUGGAACCACUCAUCUGGGUUAAUAUCACACACACCCUUGAAUUUGGGCUGGGAGGAAGGAAGUUCUAGGUUUGAAUCUCAAAAAGGCUAUCUUCUGACUGAGAUAUUGAUCUUCUUAGAGUUUGUUUCCUUGCUUAAAAAAUAGGGACUCAAUAGAUUUGUGCAGAAGAUGGUUCUAAAUGCUUGCAUAGUAGUAGCACACAGUAGGUGCCCAAUAAAGGUUUAUUUUUAUCAUUACCUUUAUUACUAAGUAUUAGUCUACUCACACUGGACUGCCUAUGUCCCCUCUGUGCCUAACGAUGGGGUUUGGCAGAUCUGAUCUGUAGAGCCCUCUCUCAUAUUUUUUACCUCAGGAAAGGUUCUCCCAACUAAUCACAAAGCCUUCUCCUAAGAGCUAAGCUAAAUAGACACAGAAAGCUGCACUCUAAUCUGUAUGCUGAGAAAUCAGGUCUGCGAGGAGCCUUACAUCCAGUGUUUUAAUUACAGAAUUAAAACAAAAAAGAAAACGUAUUCACCUCUGAUACUUUUCCUAAUGAUCUAACUGAUAUUAAUCAACUCCUGAAGAAUGUCACAUACUUACCUUGGGCCUGUAACCUACCAGGACUGAGUUAUGACAUAAAGGGAGUGAUGCAAGGCCAUCCUUGCAGCAGAACAUGGGAUUCCUUGAGACAGGUAUCUUGAAGGAGACACAGCUGUGUCCGUGGGGCAAAGCAGGUGCAACUGAGGUCAAAGUCUUUGUCCUCACAGCUCUGUGGCUUUAGCCCAGUCCUGAGGCCUUGACUGAAAACUAAGCUCACCUUCCCUGUUUAGAGGGUGGUUUUGAAAGAUGCUGAAUGAAGGUUGUUUAUAGAACAAGAGGAAACUGGAACAUGGAACUCCUCCCUCCUGCUCUCCCCAAAUGAGGUUCUACUGAGUGUAUCCAAAACAGCACAAACCACAGUCCAUUGGAUGGUGUGCUGCAAAUCAUAGGAUUUCAAACCUCUAAUGGAAGAAAUCAGACAAUCUUUGAGCAGUUUAGGAUCAUGGAUUAACUGGGUCAGAAAUCCAGUCACCAAAUAUAGCUCUUUGUCCUCUAUUCCUACAGACAGGCAGGGAGUGAUCUGGCCCCACUGCCCGCUCCUCCCUGGCAGGCUGGCCUGGAAGCCCGCUCUCCGCAGUCCCCGCCCUACCAGGGAACCUGUCCCCAGCACCAGCACUGAAGGUCAAGUUGGCCCAGGUGCAUCCUGUGACUCAUUUCUCAUUUCUGGCCCAUGCUCUAACAAAAAAUCUGAGUCCCACCCUUCAUCGUCUUUAUUUGUUUUUAAUGUCUAUGUGAUCUCAUGUCUCAAGUCAGCCUCCCUGUGUUCUGAGAAAUAGCCUUGGCCCCCUGUAUUAAUUGAGCAGAGUGUAUAUUAUCAUUCAUCAUUCACAGUAUCCAUGCUCCUUGUUUAUUCCCCAUUGCUGCACUCCCCACCGCGGCCCAGUUCCUAGUCUAUCUUUCUGAAAUUGAGAAUAUGGGACUUUAGUCUGAUUUACCUAUUUGUCCAGCAAUUGGUACAUGGUAGGUGCUCAUGGCUGCUCACAAAAGGAACUUUCUGUGGCUUAAGCAAGAAAGGAAUCAGUUCAAAGGAUGUUGGGCAAUUCUCUGAAUGUCCGGGAAGCCUGGAGAUCCAGCCUAUAAAUUGGUGUGGUUGGAAACCAGGCCCCAAAUAGAACCCAGUGGGGUCCCUGCUACAGAGUAGAUGCUGACACUGUCAUUGUAGUUGUCUUGGUGCUCACCACACACCUGACAUUAUAGGGCUCCAUAUUUAACAAAAUAAACGGACAAUGAAUGAUGUACUCUUUUGCUCUGGGUUCUGGUGACAUCCACUUACAAUCCACCUUUUGUCCUAAAGUUUUACACAGGCCAGAUCCAAAAUCCCUGUCCCCCACAGAGUGGAUGCUAAGAACAGCAAGCCGUGUGGCUCCUGUUUCUUCAGCCCAGCUGGCACCAGCCCCAGAGCCGCCUGGCUUCCACUGCCUUUGGCUUUGUCUUCUCUUUUUCAUCACUCUUGCCCUUUGGACUUGCUGCCUGUCUUUGGCUCACUUACUUUUUGACCCUGGGCACUUUGUAGUGUUUCUCAGCAGGGGCACUAUUAGCAUUUGGUGCCAAACAAUUCUUUGUUGAGUGCAACCACUCCAUGUGUCCCAAGACUUUUUAACAUCCCUGACCAUGCUCAUUAAAUGUUAGAACAGUUCUAUAGUCAUCGUGAC